This 396-nucleotide long non-coding RNA is filed under the name Homo sapiens (human). Its description in RNAcentral is "PREDICTED lncRNA (TCONS_00249755)". The record is from RNAcentral. Lineage: Eukaryota; Metazoa; Chordata; Mammalia; Primates; Hominidae.
CAACAAACAGAGCAGGGAAAAACAGCACCCCGAAGACAGCAUUCAGGACCCAGCCCUUUAGACAAAAGGGAUCAGAUCAGGUCUACUAGAUGGCCUCAUUCAGUCAGACACACCCAGUUAAGCAGCCCUGGAAAGGGACUCUAGAGAAUGCUAGAAGUACUGUGAAGCUCGCAGAUGGCCUUGUGGACUUUAGCACUUCAGGUGAGAAGACAACAGUCUCCCAGCAAAAUGUUGCAAGCAGCACAGGCUCAGGAAUGGACAGACUGGCAGGCAAGACACAGCAAGAAGGCAGCAGUCUGCACACCAGGAGGAGAGUCCUCACCACAACUCAGCCCUGCCACACCCUGAUCCUGGACUUUCAGCCUCCAGAGCUGUGAGAAAUAAAUGCCUGCUGUU